AAAAACACAGCACUCUGCAAACACGAAAGUGGACGUAUAGGGUGUGACGCCUGCCCGGUGCCGGAAGGUUAAGUGAUGGGGUGCAAGGUAGCGAAAUUCCUUGUCGGGUAAGUUCCGACCUGCACGAAUGGCGUAACGAUGGCCACACUGUCUCCUCCUGAGACUCAGCGAAAUUGAAGUGGUUGUGAUGAUGCAAUCUACCCGCGGCUAGACGGAAAGACCCCAUGCACCUUUACUGUAGCUUUGCAUGGGACUGUGAACCGGUCUGUGUAGGAUAGCUGGGAGGCUUUGAAGCGGGGACGCCAGUUCCCGUGGAGCCGUCGUUGAAAUACCAGCCUGAUCUGUUCGCGGUUCUAACCUAGGCCCGUCAUCCGGGUCGGGGACAGUGCAUGGCAGGCAGUUUGACUGGGGCGGUCUCCUCCUAAAGGGUAACGGAGGAGCUCGAAGGUACGCUAGGCACGGUCGGAAAUCGUGCUGAUAGUGCAUUGGCAAAAGCGUGCUUGACUGCGAGACUGACACGUCGAGCAGGUGCGAAAGCAGGACAAAGUGAUCCGGUGGUUCUGUAUGGAAGGGCCAUCGCUCAACGGAUAAAAGGUACGCUGGGGAUAACAGGCUGAUUCCGCCCAAGAGUUCACAUCGACGGCGGAGUUUGGCACCUCGAUGUCGGCUCAUCACAUCCUGGGGCUGUAGCCGGUCCCAAGGGUAUGGCUGUUCGCCAUUUAAAGUGGUACGUGAGCUGGGUUUAAAACGUCGUGAGACAGUUUGGUCCCUAUCUGCCGUGGGCGCUGGAGAUUUGACGGGGCCUGCUCCUAGUACGAGAGGACCGGAGUGGACGCACCUCUGGUGUACCGGUUGUGACGCCAGUCGCAUCGCCGGGUAGCUAAGUGCGGAAGAGAUAACCGCUGAAAGCAUCUAAGCGGGAAACUCGCCCGAAGAUGAGAUCUCCCCGGAGGCCAGACCUCCCUGAAGGGUCGCGGAAGACCACCGCGUUGAUAGGCCGGGUGUGGAAGCGCAGCAAUGCGUUGAGCUAACCGGUACUAAUUGCCCGUGAGGCUUGAUCCU
This 1062-nucleotide ribosomal RNA is filed under the name compost metagenome. RNAcentral's name for it is "bacterial LSU rRNA". It matches the Rfam family "Bacterial large subunit ribosomal RNA", at positions 1809 to 2925 of the family's 2925-position model. The record is from RNAcentral.